RNAcentral lists this ribosomal RNA (535 nucleotides) under Rhodotorula diobovata. RNAcentral's name for it is "LSU rRNA". It matches the Rfam family "Eukaryotic large subunit ribosomal RNA", at positions 1 to 540 of the family's 3401-position model. The record is from RNAcentral. Lineage: Eukaryota; Fungi; Basidiomycota; Microbotryomycetes; Sporidiobolales; Sporidiobolaceae.
GAUCUCAAAUCAGGUAGGACUACCCGCUGAACUUAAGCAUAUCAAUAAGCGGAGGAAAAGAAACUAACAAGGAUUCCCCUAGUAGCGGCGAGCGAAGCGGGAAGAGCUCAAAUUUAUAAUCUGGCACCUUCGGUGUCCGAGUUGUAAUCUCUAGAAGUGUUUUCCGCGUUGGACCGCACACAAGUCUGUUGGAAUACAGCGGCAUAGUGGUGAAACCCCCGUAUAUGGUGCGGACGCCCAGCGCUUUGUGAUACACUUUCAAUGAGUCGAGUUGUUUGGGAAUGCAGCUCAAAUUGGGUGGUAAAUUCCAUCUAAAGCUAAAUAUUGGCGAGAGACCGAUAGCGAACAAGUACCGUGAGGGAAAGAUGAAAAGCACUUUGGAAAGAGAGUUAACAGUACGUGAAAUUGUUGGAAGGGAAACGCUUGAAGUCAGACUUGCUUGCCGGAGCUUGCUUCGGUUUGCAGGCCAGCAUCAGUUUUCCGGGGUGGAUAAUGACGGUUUGAAGGUAGCAGUCUCGGCUGUGUUAUAGCUUUC